UUGAACGCUGGCGGAAUGCUUUACACAUGCAAGUCGAACGGCAGCACGGGGGCAACCCUGGUGGCGAGUGGCGAACGGGUGAGUAAUGCAUCGGAACGUGCCCAGUCGUGGGGGAUAACGCAGCGAAAGCUGUGCUAAUACCGCAUACGAUCUAUGGAUGAAAGCGGGGGAUCGCAAGACCUCGCGCGAUUGGAGCGGCCGAUGUCAGAUUAGCUAGUUGGUGGGGUAAAGGCCCACCAAGGCGACGAUCUGUAGCUGGUCUGAGAGGACGACCAGCCACACUGGGACUGAGACACGGCCCAGACUCCUACGGGAGGCAGCAGUGGGGAAUUUUGGACAAUGGGCGCAAGCCUGAUCCAGCAAUGCCGCGUGCAGGAAGAAGGCCUUCGGGUUGUAAACUGCUUUUGUACGGAACGAAAAGGUCUGGGUUAAUACCCUGGGCUCAUGACGGUACCGUAAGAAUAAGCACCGGCUAACUACGU
This 482-nucleotide ribosomal RNA is filed under the name uncultured bacterium. RNAcentral's name for it is "bacterial SSU rRNA". It matches the Rfam family "Bacterial small subunit ribosomal RNA", at positions 30 to 506 of the family's 1533-position model. The record is from RNAcentral.